RNAcentral lists this unclassified non-coding RNA (313 nucleotides) under fungal sp. RNAcentral describes it as "partial internal transcribed spacer region". The stretch from base 1 to 46 matches the Rfam family "Eukaryotic small subunit ribosomal RNA", at positions 1786 to 1831 of the family's 1831-position model. Lineage: Eukaryota; Fungi. The record is from RNAcentral.
AAGUCGUAACAAGGUAACCGUAGGUGAACCUGCGGUUGGAUCAUUACAAAUUCUUUCAAUUGUUCUUUUCGCGUGCCAGGAAACUGCUGCGAUCUGAACAAAUGAAGAAACUAAAUGUGCACCUGUAUUUGUACGUUGGCGGUUGUUCAGUGCUUUGUGCUGAACUUGCAUUAAAUUGCAAAGGCCGUCAAUAGUGUUUUUACCAAAACGCUUUAAAAAUAUAUUCAGCUUUUCAGCUAUUUUAAUUUUUUUUUUUUAAACUUAUUCUCUUGAAAACCAAGAACAACUAUUAACAAUGGAUCUCUUGGCUCUC